Molecule: ribosomal RNA, 468 nt
Filed under: uncultured bacterium
Lineage: Bacteria
Description: partial 16S ribosomal RNA
Rfam family: Bacterial small subunit ribosomal RNA
Source: RNAcentral
GACGAACGCUGGCGGCGUGCUUAACACAUGCAAGUCGAACGGAAAGGCCCUGCUUUUGUGGGGUGCUCGUGUGGCGAACGGGUGAGUAACACGUGAGUAACCUGCCCUUGACUUUGGGAUAACUUCAGGAAACUGGGGCUAAUACCGGAUAGGAGCUCCUGCUGCAUGGUGGGGGUUGGAAAGUUUCGGCGGUUGGGGAUGGACUCGCGGCUUAUCAGCUUGUUGGUGGGGUAGUGGCUUACCAAGGCUUUGACGGGUAGCCGGCCUGAGAGGGUGACCGGCCACAUUGGGACUGAGAUACGGCCCAGACUCCUACGGGAGGCAGCAGUGGGGAAUAUUGCACAAUGGGCGGAAGCCUGAUGCAGCAACGCCGCGUGCGGGAUGACGGCCUUCGGGUUGUAAACCGCUUUCGCCUGUGACGAAGCGUGAGUGACGGUAAUAGGUAAAGAAGCACCGGCUAACUACGUG